RNAcentral lists this ribosomal RNA (301 nucleotides) under uncultured bacterium. RNAcentral describes it as "partial 16S ribosomal RNA". It matches the Rfam family "Bacterial small subunit ribosomal RNA", at positions 509 to 807 of the family's 1533-position model. The record is from RNAcentral.
CAGCCGCCGCGGUAACACGAAGGGUGCAAGCGUUAAUCGGAAUUACUGGGCGUAAAGCGUGCGUAGGCGGUGAGUUAAGUCUGCUGUGAAAUCCCCGGGCUCAACCUGGGAAUGGCAGUGGAUACUGGCUCGCUAGAGUGUGUCAGAGGAUGGUGGAAUUCCCGGUGUAGCGGUGAAAUGCGUAGAGAUCAGGAGGAACAUCAGUGGCGAAGGCGGCCAUCUGGGACAACACUGACGCUGAGGCACGAAAGCGUGGGGAGCAAACAGGAUUAGAUACCCGCGUAGUCCCUGUCUCUUAUAC